GGGCCAUUUGAAAAUCCAAAAAUUGAUUUACUUUACGAACAAGUUAAGGAAAUAAUAAAAUUUAGCUGCGAUGGCCUCCCCCCUAAUUUUGAUGGUGAUGUAAUAAACCAUAAUAAUAUUGUCAUCGACUCGAAUACAAAAAAGAACGUAGAAGAAGAAACUGUUGCAAACAUUGACGAUGCAUCAAUAUUGAUUGAGGAUGCAUCAACAUUGAAUGAUUUACCAAUAGAUAUGGAAAACAUUCAAAUACAAAACGAUAUAAAUAUAGUCGGACCGAGUGGCAGCAGAAGAGAACAAUUUAAGACUGCAGUCAGGAAACAUUCGGGAGCGGUUAAGAGGACAGCCAAACCGCCGUCACAAAACCAGGCAGUUAUGCAAUCGUGGGCAAAGGCCCGAAGAGAAUUGGCAGACCUCCAAAAAGACUUAUUAAAAAAGGAAUUCCAGGAGCGGGAAAGCAGAGAAAACAUUUUAUUCGAA
Photinus pyralis (common eastern firefly) is the source of this 477-nucleotide long non-coding RNA. RefSeq lists it as uncharacterized. The transcript has 3 exons. The record is from RefSeq and is a predicted model, not a curated record. Lineage: Eukaryota; Metazoa; Arthropoda; Insecta; Coleoptera; Lampyridae.